GGGGCUGUAGUGAAGAGGAUUUAUCACGCCGGACCUCUAAUCCGGAGACCAGGGUUCGAUCCCCUGCAGUCUUG
Non-coding RNA from Pavlovales sp. CCMP2436, 74 nucleotides. NCBI's taxonomy places the organism in Eukaryota, Haptophyta, Pavlovophyceae, Pavlovales. The record is from the annotation of a GenBank genome assembly.